This 497-nucleotide ribosomal RNA is filed under the name uncultured bacterium. RNAcentral describes it as "partial 16S ribosomal RNA". It matches the Rfam family "Bacterial small subunit ribosomal RNA", at positions 28 to 507 of the family's 1533-position model. The record is from RNAcentral.
GAUGAACGCUGGCGGCGUGCCUAAUACAUGCAAGUCGAGCGAACAGACGAGGAGCUUGCUCCUCUGACGUUAGCGGCGGACGGGUGAGUAACACGUAGAUAACCUACCUAUAAGACUGGGAUAACUUCGGGAAACCGGAGCUAACACCGGAUAACAUGUUGAACCGCAUGGUUCAACAGUGAAAGCCGGACUUGCUGUCACUUAUAGAUGGAUCCGCGCCGCAUUAGCUAGUUGGUAAGGUAACGGCUUACCAAGGCAACGAUGCGUAGCCGACCUGAGAGGGUGAUCAGCCACACUGGAACUGAGACACGGUCCAGACUCCUACGGGAGGCAGCAGUAGGGAAUCUUCCGCAAUGGGCGAAAGCCUGACGGAGCAACGCCGCGUGAGUGAAGAAGGUCUUCGGAUCGUAAAACUCUGUUAUUAGGGAAGAACAAAUGUGUAAGUAACUAUGCACGUCUUGACGGUACCUAAUCAGAAAGCCACGGCUAACUACGUG